Molecule: ribosomal RNA, 532 nt
Filed under: uncultured soil bacterium
Lineage: Bacteria
Description: bacterial SSU rRNA
Rfam family: Bacterial small subunit ribosomal RNA
Source: RNAcentral
UUUGGCGGCAUGGCUAAGACAUGCAAGUCGAACGCGAAAGUGGGAGCAUCCCCCGGGUAGAGUGGCGAAAGGGCGAAUACAUUCCUACGUGCCUCGAGGUCAGUGUACAGCCCAGUGAAACCUGGAGUAAUACCUGAUGUGGUGCCUCAUCUUAGAGUGGAGCAUCAAAGGCUUGCCGCCUUGAGAGCGGGGAAUGUCCUAUCAGCUAGUUGGUGAGGUAACGGCUCACCAAGGCGAAGACGGGUAGCGGGUGUGAGAGCAUGACCCGCCGCAUCGGGACUGAGUCACUGCCCGGACUCCUACGGGAGGCUGCAGUAACGAAUCUUCCGCAAUGCGCGAAAGCGUGACGGAGCGAUGCCGCGUGCAGGAUGAAGCCCUUCGGGGUGUAAACUGCUGUCAGGGUUUAGAAACACAAUGAUCAAACCCAAAGGAAGAGACGACUAACUCUGUGCCAGCAGUCGCGGUACAUACAGAAGGUCUCGGAGCGUAUAAACGGGAUUCCAAAGGGGGCUUCAAGGGGUACGUAGAGCAG